RNAcentral lists this transfer RNA (56 nucleotides) under Triticum aestivum (bread wheat). It matches the Rfam family "tRNA", at positions 10 to 63 of the family's 71-position model. Rfam says of the family: Transfer RNA (tRNA) molecules are approximately 80 nucleotides in length. Their secondary structure includes four short double-helical elements and three loops (D, anti-codon, and T loops). The record is from Rfam by way of RNAcentral. Lineage: Eukaryota; Viridiplantae; Streptophyta; Magnoliopsida; Poales; Poaceae. RNAcentral also lists the same sequence under 1 other name.
GCUCAGUUGGUAAAGCACAAGGUUCUUAACCUUGUGGACGUGGAUUCAAGUCCCAU